ACGCUCGACACCUACGGGCGGCAGCAGUGGGGAAUAUUGCACAAUGGGGGAAACCCUGAUGCAGCGACGCCGCGUGAAGGAAGAAGUAUUUCGGUAUGUAAACUUCUAUCAGCAGGGAAGAAAAUGACGGUACCUGAGUAAGAAGCACCGGCUAAAUACGUGCCAGCAGCCGUGGUAAUCUGAGCGGGCUGGCAAGGC
This 198-nucleotide ribosomal RNA is filed under the name uncultured bacterium. RNAcentral describes it as "partial 16S ribosomal RNA". It matches the Rfam family "Bacterial small subunit ribosomal RNA", at positions 328 to 539 of the family's 1533-position model. The record is from RNAcentral.